Molecule: long non-coding RNA, 505 nt
Organism: Entelurus aequoreus (snake pipefish)
Lineage: Eukaryota; Metazoa; Chordata; Actinopteri; Syngnathiformes; Syngnathidae
Exons: 6
Source: RefSeq, a predicted model, not a curated record
UGACACCUCUCGAUAUUUACAACGCCAUUUGUGAGAUGAAAGAAAGUUGCAGUGCUGGUCCCCGUGGUCUUGAAGAGAGUGGUGAGGACGGCGGAAAAGAUCAUCAGGACUCCUCUUCCUCCUAUCCAGGAGAUGGCAAAAAGCCGCUGCCUGACCAGGGCUCAGAAAAUCUGCAGAGACUCCUCCCACCCCCACCAAGGACUGUGUUCACCGCUGGACUCUAGAAAGAGGUUCCGCAGCCUCCGAAGCAGAACCUCCAGGUUCUGUAACAGCUUCUUCCCUCAGGCCUUCUCACGGCAUGCUCGUCAUCAUUAAAAGCCUGUUGAAAAAAGGAACUUUCCACUGGAGGGAUGAGACGAUCGCAUGAUGAAGGAAUCGAACCCGAAAUGUGCAACAUUGCAACACCAGGGAUUAACAGAAGAGGUCAACUGUACACGUGACUAUCCCAGCAUAUUUCUCACGGCAUGCUCGUCAUCAUUAAAAGCCUGUUGAAAAAAGGAACUUU